Molecule: long non-coding RNA, 8172 nt
Organism: Numida meleagris (helmeted guineafowl)
Lineage: Eukaryota; Metazoa; Chordata; Aves; Galliformes; Numididae
Exons: 2
Source: RefSeq, a predicted model, not a curated record
UCACAUGCUAUAGAAUUCUGGAAAAGACAGAGUAACUUGUACUUUUAAGCCAUGGUGGCAGACAAACUGAUGUAGGAGAGUUUGGUGCCUACCACCAUUCAUGAAACAAGGCAAAUCACAAAAAACUCAACUAGAAUUAAACAGUAGGGCAGUUAUUUUGAUUUCAGGACACAUCCUUUCCUUUAAACCAGCAAUAGCCUCACAUGACUGAAAUAGCAUAGGUCAGUCCAGACUAAAGAGCUCCUCAUAGCCUCAGCUUUUUCCUUCUAGACCUAAACUCCUUUGUUACCUCCACAGGAAUAAUUUCCUAAAACUUUAGGAUUGCUGUCAGCUGUCCAGGUUUCCAUCAAAUUUGCAAAAUCUUUUUAAAUCUGGACACAGUUUUCUCGAGUGUAAGCAAAGCUGCAAGGAGCAGAAUUAUUCUCCUGUCCUGAAAAGUCAUACCCUAUUUAUAUACCUGGUGCAGUACUCAUUUUUUGCAGCUUCAUUACACUGUGAACUUGUCUCAUUUGUCCAUCACCCUCAGGUCUUUCUCUGCAUUACUGCAUUUAAAACUUAUGAUUAGUAAACUGGCCCUAAAUAAAAAUUCUUAACCAGAAUUUUGAGUAUUUAGACAAGAGAACACUCCUUUACUUUCCUAACUCCAUCCUCCCUAGUCAUGCUGCAAACAAACACAUUUCCUCCCACCACACACUAAUUCCAUUAUAAUGACUUCUCAAAAAAGCUUUGCUGUGGGUUGAGAGGAAAUUGAAAAGAAAAGAAAACACCACGCAGAGGCUCCAGUCCUAUCACCGGAAGGUAAGUGCAGGUACUAGAUGUACAUCUACCAUUCAUUAAACCUGAGGAUGGAUCCAAGAGUUGCUGUUUUGUUACAGUCACAUCUGCUCUAGCACCUUUCUGUUUUGAACACCUCUCUCUGAAGCAUUUCUCUGCAAUCUCUGGUGUCCCCUCAAAUAUCCCCUCAGAGCUGGAAAACUCUAUUGAUGGCAAUUGGGCAUUUUCUUCUCCGUGUAAAAGUCUAGUUCUAAGCCAUUUAAUUCACAAUAUGGGAGUAUGCUGAAGUUACAUUUUAAACUAUACGUCUGUAGCAAAGACCUCUGGAAACUUCUACAUAAAGCACGGUAAGAUUAUGUUCUUAGUUUAUAUCAUUCUAAAAGUUGAUGCUCUGUGAAAAUUGCCACAAUAAAAGAAAAACCACGCAUGACACUACAGCAUGAUUUAUGUACUUUGCAUCAAGGUUAACUGCUGCAAAAUUGGCUUCCUGAUGUGACAGAAAGUUUACUCAUCCUCUCUUCUGCUGAUUGCAUUCCUACCAAGCAGCAAACUCAUGAAAAAAGGACAGCCUAUGGCCAGCACCUGUUCCCACUUGUGUUAAACUGCAGUCACUAUUAAGAGGCUAUUGGACCUUCACCCUCAGGCAUUUUCCAAACAACUCUAGACACAGGCAGGGCUGCUCUGACAAAGCAUCAGCAAGGGUUCUGCUUGAAGCAGGAGAUGGGGCAGAUGAUGACCACAAGAUCCUUCCACACAAUGCUUCAUGUGAAAUUAGCAGGAAAGUCAGUUACAUCUCAGUGCUUUUUAGAUGUCAAGUACUGAAUAACAGAAGAGGCAAAAACACAUCUAAAAAUAAAAAUAGUCAAAGGAUGCCUUGUUUUUCCUGUCUCCUAACAGUAAUGAGAGCCAGGAGCAGGCAGAAAACACAAAAGAUCUCUUUCUCUCUGGCAGCUCAGGCGGGUGACUCACAGCGAGCGAUGAACUCUCCGUAUGCUGCUCCUGUCAGUGCCGGGCGGAUUUGCUUUCUGAGCCCUGACCUGGGCCAUACGGCAGCGGACAGAAACACGGAGCCUGACUUCUUCCUAGCAGCUUUGCCAAUAAGAAAACGCUAAGGACAGCCGAGGACAGCGAUCACCGAAACUUCACAUUUGCAAUGCAGCUAAAAUCCCGGAGCCAGGAGAGCAGGUUGAAGGAAUGCCAGCACUCACACCCCACAGCUGCUCUGAAUUGCAGUUAGCCACCUCAGAGCUUUCUUCCCAGAACUCAGAGCGCCAUUGCAUGCCAUUAACCUUUACUCCCACCCAUCUCCAGCAGGAAAAUUUAUGUGUUCUUGCACUCCUCUGCCAGGUAUGUUAGACACUAAAAAUUGUAGUUUUCCUUGUGACUUCCAAGCCAGAGCUAACAAUUAAACAAAGGCAGCUCUGAGGAUGGUUUUGCAACAAACUUAUUUUUGUAGCAAACUUAUUUUUUGUCCAGUGAGGAGGUGCUGACAGCAUUUUUUCUCGUAUUUUCUCUUAGCAUUUUCACAAUACUAUACCCAAAGAAUGCUGUUUAUGCUCCUCCAGACUAAUAGGCAGACAGAAUCUUGAAAUGAAGUUUAUUUUUUUUUUAGUCUUUCACUUGUGUUUUGCAGAACUAACAGUUUUUCAUAUCAGCUAAAUUUACUAUUACAUUUAUUAGAGCCAGAAAGCAGAAUUUCAUUUCGUGUGGCCUUCAGCUAUGGACACUAAAAGCCAGUCCCUGCAGCUCGAAUAGCACUGUACUACUGUCUUGAUUCCCCAUGUAAACAGAUUUUGUUUUCAUAGGUCUUACACCUAAAGGCAACAAGCAUUAUGGCUGUGACAUCUGCUGCCACUGCAGCUGUGGCUCCAGCUGGUUUUCUGCCCUGGGGUACACUAACAGCCCAAUACUUGGAUUCUGAGGGGAGGGAAUGUAUUAUAGGUCAUAUCAUCAUAAUCACCAAUCAUGCUAGUUAUUGUUUUUGAAACAAAUUUUGUUUUACAGAAAGUGUGAUUUAAAAGCAUUCCCAAGAUUGCUCAAGCUUGGGAGCAACAUACCUGUUUUUCCUGUCUUUUUUGAAUACAGUGUGUAACUAUUUACCUGUACACCAGGCAGAAGGAGAGUAUUUCAUGGCUGCUUUCCACAGCUCAAAAGAACCAUCACCAAGGGCUAAAAAGAACCAUCUCCACAAUGUACAGGCUUUAUGACUGACAGUUUUUCCUGGGGAAUUCACCAGAAAAUGAACCACAUGACUUAAUACUAAAUGUAGGGUUGGUGGAAGCUUCCAUGUUCAUACUCUGGAUGCUUCUUGACCACAUUCUGGAAAUGGCUCAGAAAGUGGCAGUGCAUUUUCCCUUCCUAAGGUUUUCCUCCUUUCUUUGAGAAUAAAGCUCCUUGAUCGCGCAAGAGGUACCUCUAUUCCAAGCUACCACCACCCUUCCUAAGAAGUCUGUCCCUGCCUUAUGCUUUCUGCUUCAAGCCUAGUUCAGUUUUAUUUUAAGUGCUGCAAACUUUGACUGUGGCACAUGACGUAGGUGAAUUUCUGGAACGUCCUGAAGUGUAAGUGUAUCACAGAAUUUCCAGUGACUGUGGGAGAUUAGUCCUAGUAGCUGUAGUGGCUCCUUUCUCUCCUAAACUAACCCGUAGAUCCCAUUAGUGACUGAGCUGCUACACAGACACUUGUCCAUCAGGAACUAUCCCUGCCAGAAAAGAAGCUACUGAAGAGCAUUCAUGAGAAAUUAAUUAUAUUUAAUUCCAAUUUGGAUAGAUUUGAAUCUGUGAAUUCAGGGUAAAGAAGAAUGAGUUCUCUGAGCAAAUUUCCUACUGCAAGAUAUUCUAAAGAGAGCCACAUGGUGUCAACAGUUGACUUCUGACAUCCAGUCACUACACAAGGUCAGGUAAGGGGAAAACGAAUGCAAAAGUAAUUGUUUAGGAAAAAACAGGCAACAUCAACAAGACUUGUGAAUUUGACAGAUACAAAAGGAGCUUGUGCUUAACCUAAGCAAAGAUGCAAAUGUUGGUAAGUACGCACAUUUGUUUUCAUUUGAAGACAGAACCAUUGAUCUGUUUGCCCUUGCUAUGUUGUCUAACUGAUGUAUGAUGCAAAGUGCCUUUUCCUUAGCACGUACACUGUGCACUGGUGACUACACAAAGUGCGUGACUUGACAGGAAACAGAUAUCUCAGUUCUCUUGAAUUAAAGAAAACAAUGUAAUUGGACACAAUUCUCCCUUGAACACUCUUAAAAAAUUCUCCUUUCUGAAAAGUGAUACUCUGAUCAGGACUAGCUUAAGACGCAGUUACAGGCCAGUUCACCUGUGAUGUGUUAAGUGACACACAAGUCAUCAACAUCUUAUGUUCUUCAAGAAAAUAUCACUGAAAAUAUAGUCCUGCUCUUUGUUAAGAAAUGCUUUAAAAUUAGAACCACGUAAAAUUAGUGAAUUGAUAUUUUGCCCAGAAAUUGCCACAAAGGACCAUUCUGAAGAGUGAAAUUGCACUUGAUCUAGAGCUAUAGCGUACCGAGAACCCAGUCUGCCCUAAUCCAGCUCCAGCCCCCAUAGAUUACACGUUCCCAUUACCUUUGGGGUGUGUUAGAACAAUCACUGGUGUGCAAUUUCCAAUUAAACUUCUUCAGGAAGAAAUCCAGUUCCUGUCCUUCAGAAGUGACGUAACUUAAAGAACACCAAGCACAAAAGAUUCAGAGGUAAGUCUGAUUCACGUCACAGAAACAUUUAUGUAGCACUCUUAACCAUUCUAUCCCUGAGAGCAAAAUGCUCCUCCAGCAAAAGAAAAUUGGCCAGGGUCCCAUUUAUGUUCAUCUACAUGAAGAAGCUAUUGCAAAACAAGCCAGGUGUGAAUUCAGAGUACAACAGUCAUUUAUCUUCUCUCUCCUUCUGAAUGUUUAUUCUUCUCUUAAGGCUCUGGCAGGUUAAACUGAGGUGUCUGUUCACAGCUGGACGCAUGCCCCUUGUUCAGAGGUUUCUGUCUCCAUUGUAAGGUUGGAUCAGCUGCGGCAACAACUGCUGGGCUGCCAUAAAUUACAGACUAAUGUUAAGGAAAACCAUCAUGCAUAAUACACAAACAAGAACACAUGAGCAUGCCAGCUAUUCCUCGGCAUUUUAAGCAAUGUAAAGGCCGUAGAGUAGAUGACAUUUCUGGUUAGUCAGAAAAAAAAUCUGUCAAGAAGGACCCAUAGAAUGCCUUGCGCUGGAGCUGAAACACCGAGUGCCCCAGGAGUUCACAGAUAAGCAUCACUGAAAUAUAAUUGGUGCCCACACCACCAAUGAAAUCAAAUAAUUUAUUCCACAUUGUUUUGUUUGAGCCGCUUUUCUCAUAAAAGGGUCUUCACAGAUGAGCAGAAUUCUGUUUGUUGUAUCCAAUUAGGCUUCCAAGCAACUUCUUUUGUAAGAGUGGAUCAUGUAAAAACAAACACAUGCAUAGACAACCAUCCAGCAAUUGUAAGGCCAUCUAGCUCUGUCUGUUUAUCUAUGGAUCUUUAGACUUCAGCCCUAAGUAAAUGAUAAAAUAACGGAGGUAGCCUUUUACCAGAGGAAAGUAUAACCUGAAAUACUUCUGCACUGAAAAUUUCUUCCUACCUUUUCUUAUAAGUUUUAGUAUCGUUCAGAAAUAAAAAAAAUAGAAAAAAAAGUUCAGGAAAAGUACACUUCAGAAUAAUUUCAAAAAUGCAUUUUUGGCUAUGAUUUUACUUCUGGUUCAGGGGCCUUUAAGUAAUGAUGGAUGAAAUUCACCUUUAUGAGUACAAAUAGAGCUUGAAAGGUCAUGAGUUAUGUAAGAAAAUUGGCCACAAUUACUUUUUUUUGAUGUUUCAGAAUGAUUUCUCUGUCUUCUAAGAAAAGGCUGUUUCUAUUUAUGUAGAAAACCUCCAGGAGACCAUUCUAGCUUCUGAAAAAUGAAAGACAGGACUGCUUCAAGUAGCUGCUAGGCCCUGUCAUAAGGCUCAUGCUGCAGUUUGCUGAUCCUGUCAGGCUCCACAGGAGGAAAAUAUUAAACAUUAUGAUAUAAAAUUAUGUACCUACUGAGCAUAUGAUCCAGGAGCUGGCAACCAUUUAAUCCAGCUUUCAUGCAGCAAAACCCAACUUGUACAUUCCAGCAACCAGAAGUUCUGCCCCCGGUUCUUAAGCCCUCCUUACAUCACAGCAUACUGGCAAGCCCUCUCCCUCAUUAUGGCUUCCAAAAUACGUCUUCUCCUUGGUGACCAGCAGGGAAAAGUUAGCUCCCAAAUAAGAUAUUUUUGUUAUAAAAGCACACUUAGUAUCAUUUUUCCCUAAUGAAGCCAUUAACGUUUAUGAAGAAUAUCUGCAUCAGUUUGAAAACCUGUCUGAGAAAAAUCUCUGUGCAAAGUGUUUCAAGGAACAAAUCAAAACAGCAAAUAUGAACACUUUAACACCUGAGCUCCAGAGAAAUUUGGCUGUUGAAAAGCAGAAUCACAUUUUCUGCAGGAGGUUCUGCUUGACAACAAUUACUUAGUAGAAAUUAACUCUUUUCAGGUAGCUCUCCUUCUCCCUUCCUUUUUUUAAUGAAUAAAAAAAACAUGACAGCUGUAUGGAGAGAAAAAUGUUUAGUGGUUGUAAUUAUUGUGCUGUUUAUAUCACAAAACUGAGAUCUUAUUAAAGCCAGAUGAGCUGUAGGCUGCUGUGUGACUUGGAAGCACUUCCUCAUUCAGUGACAGUGCCAGCAACGCUACGGUCAUACUCUGAAACGCUUUGAAGCUGCCGUUGGAGAAAUCACAGCUCUGCUCUAUGCCUCAGACUACAAAGGUUUAUACUACGUGGUGGCUACCAUAACUUUCAGUGUGUGCACAGUCUCCUCCACAGUCUACAAGAAUUUUCUCGCAGCUGGCAUUCCCACAUUACUCCAUCCUCCCUGGACAAAUGAUACUUUCUCAUUUUUAGCACCGUCAACUCUUCCGACUGCAGCUGUAUGAGCCUCACCGUAAGGCAGAUGGCAGCCUUUCCUCAGUCUGCCUCACGUGUUUUCUCUUUCAUCAAAAUGGCUGUCAUCUUCCAUUUUGGGCACAUGGGUGUACAGCAGAUGAUUCACCACCAUUUUUCUGUGUAUGAGUGCAAGGCUGAGCUUUGGCACAAGUGCUGCCCUCCGCUGCAGAUAGUGAGGUUAAAGUUGAGCCCAGUGACAAAUCGAUGGGAGCUGUGAAAAUACCACAGGGCAAUAAAGUAAGAUGGAAGUGGGCAGCAGAAGUGAGACUGGGAUCUUGCUGAGGGAGGGAAAGCAAGUCGCUGAGCAUUGGGAAAAGCCAGGCAGGCAACUGUUGUGAACAGACCAUGAGGCAUCUCAUCUGGGCAUCUGCAGAAAAAUAUCCAGACUUCCCACAGUUUACAGAGCAAAAUUCAGCAUCGCAACCCCUGGUCUGAUGUGAGGCUGAAGAAGAGGUGCUGCUGUGGUCCCAACUACAUGACAAGUCCAAGGGGAACUGAAAGAAGGAGCUUUUGAAGAUUCAGAUACUUCCUUACUAUUUGAAAACUCUAUUUUUAAUCUGCAUUUAAUGUAAUGAUUUAUCUGUAGUUCAAACACACAUUUUAAAUUACUUUUGAAGUGUUUUCAAUGCAUGAGAAUUCUUUAUUAUAAAGACUAGAGAUUCCAACCAUAAUUAUAGCACUCAGCAAUGGAAGCUUAUUAGUCUAAAGUUUUUCUAGGAGUUAACAAGAUGGCUAAUGUCAGUACGUGUAGAGGGAGGUUGUAGAAUUUUUUAUUAGAAAGAAAUCUGAAAGACUUUGUCUUAAAUAAAAUCUGAACAUGAAUAUGAAAUGUAUGUUGCCAUUAACUGCUAUAGUACCUUUCUGUUCUAUUUCCUAGCUUUUGACUGUAAUAGUUUAUCAGUGUAUGCUCAACAAAUAGUUUACCAGUGUAUGCUCAACAGUUAUUUAAUUUUAUCACAGCUGUACCUAUCCUUAAAUAACCUUUCCUGAAAUGCUCUCUUUUCUUCAGAUUGUUGUUAUGUUCAAACCUCAGGGCAGCUGCUAACAGAUCAUUUUUAAUCCAUAACAGUAGGAGUCAUUUUGUGUCACAGUUGUUCUAUUAGAUGUUCUGGAGAAAAGAGAAAUCAUUUGUUUAACUUCAUAAUCUUUGUUUAUGAUGCUCAUAUGGGAAAACUGCAUUAAUAUUUGAAGUUUCGCAUGUUCUGCCACUGUUCUCCAAGUUCCCGAGUCUUGACCCUUGAAACCAAUGAAGGGUACUAACCCUUUUGAUUUUAUUGAUAACAUUUUACACAGUAGGUCACUGAAGCCAGACUUACCCUGCCCAAAAACAUGAACUAUGUACAGGCUGAAUACACGGUGCAAGUGUAUUCAGGGUAAGAGCUUGAGCAUUCCUUGCUCCUCCUGAAGUAUAUCAUACUGCCUGCAAUAAAUCAUCCUGAAGACAGA